GGGAGCUUGGCUCAGUUGGAAGAGCGCAGGUCUCAUACGAUUGUAUGACCCGGUGUCAAACCUGGAAAUCCUGAGGUCGUGAGUUCGAGCCUCACAGUUCCCA
Non-coding RNA from Parachaetomium inaequale, 103 nucleotides. NCBI's taxonomy places the organism in Eukaryota, Fungi, Ascomycota, Sordariomycetes, Sordariales, Chaetomiaceae. The record is from the annotation of a GenBank genome assembly.